CCGUCGAUAGCUCAGUUGGUAGAGCGGAGGACUGUAGAUCCUUAGGUCGCUGGUUCGAAUCCGGCUCGACGGA
Transfer RNA from Caenorhabditis elegans, 73 nucleotides. NCBI's taxonomy places the organism in Eukaryota, Metazoa, Nematoda, Chromadorea, Rhabditida, Rhabditidae. The record is from Ensembl.